RNAcentral lists this ribosomal RNA (253 nucleotides) under uncultured bacterium. RNAcentral's name for it is "partial 16S ribosomal RNA". It matches the Rfam family "Bacterial small subunit ribosomal RNA", at positions 524 to 776 of the family's 1533-position model. The record is from RNAcentral.
UACGGGGGGGGCAAGCGUUGCUCGGAAUCACUGGGCGUAAAGGGUGCGUAGGCGGGCCUUUAAGUCAGGGGUGAAAUCCUGGAGCUCAACUCCAGAACUGCCUUUGAUACUGAAGAUCUUGAGUUCGGGAGAGGUGAGUGGAACUGCGAGUGUAGAGGUGAAAUUCGUAGAUAUUCGCAAGAACACCAGUGGCGAAGGCGGCUCACUGGCCCGAUACUGACGCUGAGGUGCGAAAGCGUGGGGAGCAAACAGG